Molecule: ribosomal RNA, 253 nt
Filed under: uncultured bacterium
Lineage: Bacteria
Description: partial 16S ribosomal RNA
Rfam family: Bacterial small subunit ribosomal RNA
Source: RNAcentral
UACGUAGGGUGCGAGCGUUGUCCGGAAUUACUGGGCGUAAAGCGUGCGCAGGCGGUUAUGCAAGACAGAUGUGAAAUCCCCGGGCUUAACCUGGGAACCGCAUUUGUGACUGCAUAGCUGGAGUACGGCAGAGGGGGAUGGAAUUCCGCGUGUAGCAGUGAAAUGCGUAGAUAUGCGGAGGAACACCGAUGGCGAAGGCAGUCCCCUGGGCCUGUACUGACGCUCAUGCACGAAAGCGUGGGGAGCAAACAGG